AGAGUUUGAUCAUGGCUCAGGAUGAACGCUAGCGGCAGGCCUAAUACAUGCAAGUCGAACGGUAACAUGCUUUUCGGAGCGAUGACGAGUGGCGCACGGGUGCGUAACGCGUAUGCAACCUACCCUUUACCGGAGCAUAGCCCGGGGAAACCCGGAUUAAUACUCCAUAGUACUAUAGACUGGCAUCAUGAAAUAGUUAAAGAUUUAUUGGUAAAGGAUGGGCAUGCGUACCAUUAGUUUGUUGGUAAGGUAACGGCUUACCAAGACGAUGAUGGUUAGGGGGCCUGAGAGGGUGACCCCCCACACUGGUACUGAGAUACGGACCAGACUCCUACGGGAGGCAGCAGUAGGGAAUAUUGGUCAAUGGGCGAGAGCCUGAACCAGCCAUGCCGCGUGCAGGAAGACGGCCUUCUGGGUUGUAAACUGCUUUUGACAGGGAAGAAAAAGUCCAUGCGUGGACAUCUGACGGUACCUGUAGAAUAAGCACCGGCUAACUCCGUGCCAGCAGCCGCGGUAAUACGGAGGGUGCAAGCGUUGUCCGGAUUUAUUGGGUUUAAAGGGUGCGUAGGUGGCAUAUUAAGUCAGUGGUGAAAUCCCGUAGCUUAACUACGGAACUGCCAUUGAUACUGAUAA
This 633-nucleotide ribosomal RNA is filed under the name uncultured Bacteroidota bacterium. RNAcentral's name for it is "bacterial SSU rRNA". It matches the Rfam family "Bacterial small subunit ribosomal RNA", at positions 8 to 639 of the family's 1533-position model. The record is from RNAcentral. Lineage: Bacteria; Pseudomonadati; Bacteroidota.